GCCCCUGUGGCCUAAUGGAUAAGGCAUCGGUCUCCUAAACCGGGGAUUGUAGGUUCGAGUCCCACCAGGGGUA
This 73-nucleotide transfer RNA is filed under the name Mycetomoellerius zeteki. RNAcentral's name for it is "Trachymyrmex zeteki tRNA". It matches the Rfam family "tRNA". From Rfam's summary of the family: Transfer RNA (tRNA) molecules are approximately 80 nucleotides in length. Their secondary structure includes four short double-helical elements and three loops (D, anti-codon, and T loops). Lineage: Eukaryota; Metazoa; Arthropoda; Insecta; Hymenoptera; Formicidae. The record is from Rfam by way of RNAcentral.